GACGAAGGGGGCAAGCGUUGUUCGGAAUUACUGGGCGUAAAGGGCGCGUAGGCGGCUUUUUAAGUCCGCCGUCAAAUCCCAGGGCUCAACUCUGGACAGGCGGUGGAAACUACCAAGCUGGAGUACGGUAGGGGCAGAGGGAAUUUCCGGUGGAGCGGUGAAAUGCGUAGAGAUCGGAAAGAACACCAGUGGCGAAGGCGGCUCACUGGCCCGGUACUGACGCUGAGGUGCGAAAGCGUGGGGAGCAAACAGG
RNAcentral lists this ribosomal RNA (253 nucleotides) under uncultured bacterium. RNAcentral describes it as "partial 16S ribosomal RNA". It matches the Rfam family "Bacterial small subunit ribosomal RNA", at positions 524 to 776 of the family's 1533-position model. The record is from RNAcentral.